GAAAGUGUAUAUAGAUGGAGGAAUAAAUUAUGAUGUGGAAAACAAGGCAGGGGUUCAAAUCCUGUCAUCCCUA
This 73-nucleotide transfer RNA is filed under the name Triticum aestivum (bread wheat). RNAcentral describes it as "partial transfer RNA". Lineage: Eukaryota; Viridiplantae; Streptophyta; Magnoliopsida; Poales; Poaceae. The record is from RNAcentral.